UACACUCCUGCGGGAGGCAGCAGUGGGGAAUAUUGGACAAUGGGCGCAAGCCUGAUCCAGCCAUGCCGCGUGAGUGAUGAAGGCCCUAGGGUUGUAAAGCUCUUUCACCGGUGAAGAUAAUGACGGUAACCGGAGAAGAAGCCCCGGCUAACUUCGUGCCAGCAGCCGCGGUAAUACGAAGGGGGCUAGCGUUGUUCGGAUUUACUGGGCGUAAAGCGCACGUAGGCGGACUAUUAAGUCAGGGGUGAAAUCCCGGGGCUCAACCCCGGAACUGCCUUUGAUACUGGUAGUCUUGAGUUCGAGAGAGGUGAGUGGAAUUCCGAGUGUAGAGGUGAAAUUCGUAGAUAUUCGGAGGAACACCAGUGGCGAAGGCGGCUCACUGGCUCGAUACUGACGCUGAGGUGCGAAAGCGUGGGGAGCAAACAGGAUUAGAUACCCGUGUAGUCCA
This 448-nucleotide ribosomal RNA is filed under the name uncultured organism. Its description in RNAcentral is "partial 16S ribosomal RNA". It matches the Rfam family "Bacterial small subunit ribosomal RNA", at positions 332 to 797 of the family's 1533-position model. The record is from RNAcentral.